RNAcentral lists this unclassified non-coding RNA (433 nucleotides) under soil metagenome. Its description in RNAcentral is "partial contains 5.8S ribosomal RNA, internal transcribed spacer 2, and large subunit ribosomal RNA". The stretch from base 1 to 120 matches the Rfam family "5.8S ribosomal RNA", at positions 35 to 154 of the family's 154-position model. The record is from RNAcentral.
GAUGAAGAACGUAGCGAAAUGCGAUACGUAAUGUGAAUUGCAGAAUUCAGUGAAUCAUCGAAUCUUUGAACGCAUAUUGCGCUCUCUGGUAUUCCGGAGAGCAUGCUUGUUUGAGUAUCAGUAAACACCUCAACUCCCCUUUCUUUUUUUGAAAUGGGAGCUGGACUUGAGUGAUCCCAACGCUUUUCUCACCGAAAAGUGGCGGGUUACUUGAAAUGCAGGUGCAGCUGGACUUUUCUCUGAGCUAAAAGCAUAUCUAUUUAGUCUGCCUAAAAAACAGAUUAUUACCUUUGCUGCAGCUAACAUAUAGGAGAUUAGUUCUUGUGCUGACUGAUGCAGGAUUCACAGAGACAGCUUCGGCUGGCCUUUGUAAACUCGAUCUCAAAUCAAGUAAGACUACCCGCUGAACUUAAGCAUAUCAAUAAGCGGAGGA